UACGGAGGGUGCAAGCGUUGUCCGGAUUUAUUGGGUUUAAAGGGUGCGUAGGCGGUUCUUUAAGUCCGGGGUGAAAGCCCACUGCUCAACAGUGGAACUGCCCUGGAAACUGGAUGGCUUGAGUACAGACGAGGGUGGCGGAAUGGAUGCUGUAGCGGUGAAAUGCAUAGAUAGCAUCCAGAACCCCGAUUGCGAAGGCAGCUGCCUAGACUGUAACUGACGCUGAGGCACGAAAGCGUGGGGAGCGAACAGG
Molecule: ribosomal RNA, 253 nt
Filed under: uncultured bacterium
Lineage: Bacteria
Description: partial 16S ribosomal RNA
Rfam family: Bacterial small subunit ribosomal RNA
Source: RNAcentral